RNAcentral lists this ribosomal RNA (468 nucleotides) under uncultured bacterium. RNAcentral's name for it is "partial 16S ribosomal RNA". It matches the Rfam family "Bacterial small subunit ribosomal RNA", at positions 28 to 507 of the family's 1533-position model. The record is from RNAcentral.
GACGAACGCUGGCGGCGUGCUUAACACAUGCAAGUCGAACGGAAAGGCCCUGCUUUUGUGGGGUGCUCGAGUGGCGAACGGGUGAGUAACACGUGAGUAACCUGCCCUUGACUUUGGGAUAACUUCAGGAAACUGGGGCUAAUACCGGAUAGGAGCUCCUGCUGCAUGGUGGGGGUUGGAAAGUUUCGGCGGUUGGGGAUGGACUCGCGGCUUAUCAGCUUGUUGGUGGGGUAGUGGCUUACCAAGGCUUUGACGGGUAGCCGGCCUGAGAGGGUGACCGGCCACAUUGGGACUGAGAUACGGCCCAGACUCCUACGGGAGGCAGCAGUGGAGAAUAUUGCACAAUGGGCGGAAGCCUGAUGCAGCAACGCCGCGUGCGGGAUGACGGCCUUCGGGUUGUAAACCGUUUUCGCCUGUGACGAAGCGUGAGUGACGGUAAUGGGUAAAGAAGCACCGGCUAACUACGUG